GAACACCUUUUCAUAUGACUAGAAAUGGUUUUAUUUUCUUCUUCUGAAAAUUGUCUGUUCAUAUCCUUUGACCAUUUAUCAAUUGGAGAAUUGCACAUGUUUAACCUAUAUUGGAUUGCUUGCUAUCUAGGGGAGGAGAAAAAUUGGAACACAAGGUUUUGCAAAGAUGACUGUUGAUGGUUUGUGAUGAAGAAAGCUAUCUGCACCCAGAGAGAGGAAUGUGGGAACUGAAUGUGGAUCACAAUGUGAUGAGCAAAAUGCAGUGCAAUGGGGGGAAGGGAGCCUUGCUCAAAGACACACCAUUAGGAAACAGCAGAGUUGGGAGAUGGCCCUGGUCCUUUGGCCCCAAAGCCAUCACUCUCUAUGCUACUUCUCGCUCUGUUUAACUUCCCCCGGGCUGGACAGUUCUUGUGGGUCUCCCGCCUGGGAGGGGGCUGGAUCCCUGCUGCAGUUGUCGGAGGAGCAUGGGCACACUCUGAUCCACUGGAAGCACGAGCAUGAGGAAGCUGGACCAGAUGCUCUCUGAGGUUCCUUCCAACAUAAGAGUGAGAGGACAUGAUACUGUCUUUAAGAAUUUGAAGUCGCGGAUGUAGAAGGUUCAAACUUUUUUCUACUUGGCUUCAGAAGACAAUGAGGAGCAAUGGAUAGAAAUUGCACAUUCAAGGAUUCAGGCUUAAAAUACAGUCUAAUAAUGAGACUUGCCCCAAAGUGGAAUGAACUGUCUUAACAUUUAGUAAUCGACCUGUCACCAGAAGUCCUCAAGCAAAAUUGGUUAAGCAACAUUUGUUAAAUGUAUUGUAACAGGAAAUCUUGGUUUCCUCCAACUUUGAAGGUCUAUGAUUCUAAGUUAUUUCUGGGAGACUCAAAGUCCUUAACUAUAAAAUGAGGAAGUUGGAUGAGAUGAUCUCUAAGACUCAUCCUCAUAUUAAAGGUUUAUGAUUCUCUGAAUAUCUGCUCAUUAUAAAAAUUAUGUAACAAGAUUUUUGUGAUAAUAAAUAAUAAAACAAAUAACAAU
Molecule: long non-coding RNA, 1015 nt
Organism: Antechinus flavipes (yellow-footed antechinus)
Lineage: Eukaryota; Metazoa; Chordata; Mammalia; Dasyuromorphia; Dasyuridae
Exons: 5
Source: RefSeq, a predicted model, not a curated record